Long non-coding RNA from Poecilia reticulata (guppy), 515 nucleotides. RefSeq lists it as uncharacterized. NCBI's taxonomy places the organism in Eukaryota, Metazoa, Chordata, Actinopteri, Cyprinodontiformes, Poeciliidae. The record is from RefSeq and is a predicted model, not a curated record.
AAYGGCACUGCUCUUUCAUGAUGGGAAUGCCGAAGCUCCUUGAGAGUGCCAAGAGGCUGUUCCCUUCUGAGGGCAUUACCGUUGAUUCCUGGAUUCCUGCACAGCUGCAAUUAAUCAGAUCAUCUGGAGGAGUAUAUGAGGACGGAGCUGCMGACACUUCAGAUCCAGAGUGUUAGCCAGUAUUUGGUUAUUCCUCGUAACGCUGUGAACCCACUGGUUGCCAGAGUUCCACUGACACCUCCGCAGUAAACCAAACCUCUUUGGAUUACCCUGUUGUCAGUCUCGCUCACUCCUCGCCUUCUGUGAUCCAAAGCUUACUUGUCUGCCCUCCACCGCAGCCUCUUGGUAAGUCAAGCAGCAACCCUCCACCUGAACCAAGCCCCGGUAACCACAGUGAUUCUUCCUCCCGGACAAGACCUACCYCCACCCAAUGCCCCAGUGAUCCAGAAUCCAGAUUUUCCCCAGAACUUGAUUGUUGAUCAUUAUUUUGUGUUUACAAUAAACUUAUUUAGCUG